AAAUCUGGCCCCCUCCACGGGGGUCCGAGUUGUAAUUUGCAGAGGAUGCUUCUGGCGCGGCGCCUUCCGAGUUCCCUGGAACGGGACGCCACAGAGGGUGAGAGCCCCGUCCGGUCGGACGCCUAGCCUGUGUGAAGCACCUUCGACGAGUCGGGUAGUUUGGGAAUGCUGCCCUAAAUGGGAGGUAUAUGUCUUCUAAAGCUAAAUACCGGCCAGAGACCGAUAGCGCACAAGUAGAGUGAUCGAAAGAUGAAAAGCACUUUGAAAAGAGGGUUAAACAGUACGUGAAAUUGUUGAAAGGGAAGCGCUCAUGACCAGACUUGGGCCCGGGGGAUCACCCGGCGUUCUUUUCGCCGGGGCACUUCGCCGGCUGCCCAGGCCAGCAUCAGUUCGCGGCGGGGGACAAAGGCUUCGGGAACGUGGCUCCCUACGGGGAGUGUUAUAGCCCGCUGCGCAAUGCCCUGCCGCGGACUGAGGUUCGCGCUUCCGCAAGGAUGCUGGCGUAAUGGUCAUCAGCGACCCGUCUUGAAACACGGACCAAGGAGUCGUCUUCGUAUGCGAGUGUUCGGGUGUCAAACCCCUACGCGCAAUGAAAGUGAACGCAGGUGAGAGCUUCGGCGCAUCACCGACCGAUCCUGAUGUUCUCGGAUGGAUUUGAGUAAGAGCAUACGGGGCCGGACCCGAAAGAAGGUGAACUAUGCCUGUAUAGGGUGAAGCCAGAGGAAACUCUG
Molecule: ribosomal RNA, 731 nt
Filed under: Pleurocordyceps nipponica
Lineage: Eukaryota; Fungi; Ascomycota; Sordariomycetes; Hypocreales; Polycephalomycetaceae
Also listed under: 1 other name
Description: eukaryotic LSU rRNA
Rfam family: Eukaryotic large subunit ribosomal RNA
Source: RNAcentral